RNAcentral lists this transfer RNA (73 nucleotides) under Bulbochaete rectangularis var. hiloensis. RNAcentral describes it as "tRNA-Met". It matches the Rfam family "tRNA". From Rfam's summary of the family: Transfer RNA (tRNA) molecules are approximately 80 nucleotides in length. Their secondary structure includes four short double-helical elements and three loops (D, anti-codon, and T loops). The record is from RNAcentral. Lineage: Eukaryota; Viridiplantae; Chlorophyta; Chlorophyceae; Oedogoniales; Oedogoniaceae.
CGCCAAGUAGGGCAGUGGUGAGCCCAUGGGGUUCAUGCCCCCAAGGUCGUUGGUUCGAUUCCAACCUCGGCGC